UUUGGCCUGGAUCAGCCCAAGGUCACGGUCGCUUCGCGCGUGGCCUGACCGCCGCUGGCGUGUUCCUGGCGGGUGGCUGAGA
Molecule: transfer RNA, 82 nt
Filed under: compost metagenome
Description: tRNA-Ala
Source: RNAcentral